This is a long non-coding RNA of Apis cerana (Asiatic honeybee), 17889 nucleotides long. RefSeq lists it as uncharacterized. The record is from RefSeq and is a predicted model, not a curated record. NCBI's taxonomy places the organism in Eukaryota, Metazoa, Arthropoda, Insecta, Hymenoptera, Apidae.
CGGCUUGAACACGACCUCCAUUAGCCUUUUUGAUCAGCGGUGCUAAUUGGUCGACUUGAACGAACCAACGAUACAUUCGCCCUCUUGUGCCAUACUUGCGACCUUUCGAUCCCUCGAAACAUGCACAUAACCUCACUGCAUCGCGGCUGUAAUUUUCUCUAAAGCUGAUGUAAAAACGUCUCGAGAGGUUGUGAAUAUCGGACAAUGUGAACGGUUGGAUCUGGCUGAUAAUUAUCGCUCAGUACCAAUCUUCUAUCAUCACCAUACACACUGUACAGGACGGAAUGAAUGGCAAUGGAUUACCAGCGCACAAUUAACACGACACAGAUGGAACGAUAUGAGAAAAGAAAUCGAUAAUCUUAUAAUCGUUGACAAGAUCGAUAGUACGAUCGUUUAAUAGUAAUGAAGACAAUAUGAAAGAAUAGAGAUGGAUAAAAUUUUAACGAUUUAAGAUACCACUUCACCAAAUUGGAUCCAGCACCGCAAAAUGCUGAGAUCUAUAACAGAAAUCCUAACAACCGUUAGGCGAGAAUCAUGGAAUUAUGUUAAUUUUCUACGGCAUGUCUCGCGACUGAUAUUCAUGAGCCGGCGUGGCCCGUUACAACACAGAGGAGAGGCAAAUUAGAAGGAGGAGGAUUAGAAGGCCGUCGUCCAGGCGAAGAUCCAGUGGAAGCAUCCAGUCGGGUACGAAUAUCUGGUGGUCCAUUCAAGGGUGCAUAACAUACAGGGCGGCGAGUGAAUUUGCCCGUUUCGCCGCAACAACGGACGAUGCUCGGCUUGUAAACGAUGCAUGACAAUCGUUGUUGCAUCCGUUAGUCGAAGAGUAUUCGAGUCCUUCCUGUUCUCACCACCCCCUUCGCGGUUCUAUCUUCUCCUAUUCGAUCAUACGUAUAUAGAGAUUGGAUAGGAUGGGUUGGCUAGAAUGGUUUGGGGCAUCAUAGAACAAGGAUUCGCGAGGAAGAGAUGGACGGGAGAAAGAGAGAUGGAUAUAGGAGAAGGAGGUGGAGGAGCAGCAGCCGAAUUCCUAGCAUACCGCGGGGCCAACUGGUUAGCAAGCGAUUUACGAUAUUGUAAACCGAUGCGACGGCGGCGGCCGUGCCCACCGCCGAACCUCAAUCUAAUAGUGGCGACUUCGACCUCCAAUGCCAAAGGCACGUCGCCCCCGAACCGGUAACAUUGUUCGCCCCGCUUUUACUUCCGCCAUACAGUACAAACCUGGAUGGACUCUCUAGAUGCGACGAGUUUCUCAUUCUUAUGGUGAAUGGUUUAAAAGAUGAUAUCUAGGAGAAAGUGUUUGUAUUUGUGAUAAAUGAUUUUUUAGAUUUGCAAUAGAGAAUUUGUUUGACAGAGAUAAAUUUUGGUAAGUGUUAAAAAAGAUAAUAGAAAAUCUCUUUUGAUAAAAAAAUAUUGCUUGUUUUAGAUUAAAUAAUAAGAACAGAUAAAUUCUAAGAUAACUUUGGACUAAUUUUGAUGAGUCUGGGAAAAUGAUGUCUAAGAGAAAAUAUUUCCCAUUUGUAAUGAUUUUUAACAUUUGUUGAAAUGGACAGUUUGUUUGAUAGAGAUGAAUCUUGAUUAAUGAUAAGAAGAUAUUCAAAGUUGAAAUUUGUAAUUUUGAGAUGAAUUUGCCAUUCUGAUGAUGAAUGUUUUCAAAGAUGAUAUCUGUAGAAAAUAUUUCCACUUAAAGUAAGUAAUUUUUGAAAUUUGGAAAAUUUAUUUGAUGGAAAUAAUUUUGAUACACAACGUUUGUAAUCCACUAAACCGAGAGCAUCGAGGGUAUCCAUGCCAUGCGCACCGAAUAAUUAGAAGCGAAAGCGAGAUUCGAGAAAAUCGAAGGAUGGAGAGAUGCAGAAAUGACUGAGCAGAGAAAAGACAGAGAAAGGGAGGGCGCAUUACAAACGUUGGUAAUCUAGUUGCGAACGUAGCUCGGGGUUGGAGCCUGGAGCAACCAUGCGGAAUAAUGAUAUGUAAUCUCAAAACAACCUGCGGCCUCGCCAAGGCACACGCGAGCGGACGCGUGCUUGCACACGCGUGUGUUACACGUUACCUGCUCGCAUGUUACUAUCCCAGAAGCUGUUGCGGAAUAGGCGGAAGCGCUCGUGACCGCGGUAAAUGACACGAGCAAACGAAUCGACUGAAACGCAUGCCCCUCUUCUCUCGACACCCACACCACCAGUAUCUCUCGUUCAUCACCCUAACUUUCGCCGUUGUUACUUGCAGUUUUGAUGUAUACAACGAACCGCUUCCACUCUACCGAUACCACCGCUAAUUAUAGUUUAAUAAUGAUCCGGUCGCGCGUUAGUCCGCCAACAGCAUUCUCGCCGUUGAAUUAAAAUUGUAUUGGAAGGGGUUGAUUCGAGUUUUGGAGAGCGAAUUCGAUGGAUGAUUGGCGAGACGGUAUGUGAAUGUUUUAAGAGAUAAUGUGUUGCAAUCUGAAGUUUUUUUGAUUGUUGAAAUGUGAAUAGUUGGAUGUGGAUUUUUCAAGAGAUGAGCAAUGAUUUGUUGCAUGUAGAAUAUAAUAUUUUGAUGAUGGUAAGUGUGAAAAUAUUUUUGUUUUGUUUAAAAAUGUUUUAAUAAAUAUUAGAAAUGAAAUAAAUAGAUGUGAAUAAUUAAUAUAAUUGUUGCGUUUAGAAAUGUUUUAAUAUGAUGACUUGUUGCAUAGAGAAUAUAGAUUUUUGAUUGGUAAUAAAUUGUUGAAAGAUAAAUUUAUAAACAUGCAAUAGAUACGCAGAUACAAUUGUUGCGUGUUUGGAGAUAUUUGAAUAUUAUAUUUGAAUAUAUUUGAAUAUAAUUGGACGUGUGAAUAUUUUAAGAAAAUGGAUAAUGCUCUGCAUUCAUAUAAAAUAUAGUUUUGUGAUAAAUUGUUUAGACUAUUUUUUGAUUAAGUUUUUAGACCUUUAUUACAAUCUUACACAAUUAUUCCAUGUUUAGAAAUGUUUGAAUUAUUGAAUAUAAAUCUCGAAAAAUUCCUUGAAUAAGAAAACAAUGAUUUUUUGAAUAAAGAAUAAAUAGUAUUAGAUACUAUAGAAAAUUUGGAUAUUUUUGUGAUCUAAAUAAUUUUAAUGUAUCUUCUAAAAAAGAAAAAAAUAUUGUAAUGAAUAUAUAUCAUUUUCCAAUUAAAAGAAAUAUAUUCACCAUUGGAAAAAAAAUCUGUGAUUUUGCAAAGUUCAUGUUUAACGAAGUAAACAGAUGAAAGUUGUAGAGGGAAGAAAAUGGACGCACGCAAUUAGCCCGCAGCCGAAAGUUGCGCGGGCGUGCAAUAAGCUAUAUACAGUGUAAAAUUCCAUUCGACGAUCUCGUCCCAGCCCCAAAAACGGAUUUCCGCCGAAAUAACUGUUAACGUUGCGAAUUGCAUCUCUGGCAUGCGCGUUGCACGUGCGGAUCGGAAAAUUUCAACUGCAAAGCUACCUGCACGUUUCCCUCAUACCAUUUCCCUCUCUCUAUUUUUAUUCCUCUUUCUCUCUCUCUCUUUAUUUCGCACUCUUUGUCUUUCUUAAUUUUCUUCCCCCUUUUUUUUUUCAACUUUUCAUUUUCUUUUCUAAGAAAAUAUCUUUUUCUUUCUCUGUAUAUAUCUAUUUUUUUCCAGCUUUUCUGUUUCAGUUUUAAUUUUGUGUUUUUGUAUUUUCCUUCAUUUAAUUUCUUAGAUAUUUUCUUAUUGCUUUCUCUUUCCGACUUAAAGACUUUAUUUUUUAAAGCAUUUUUCCUUUACAUCACCAAAGGAGAAUUACUUAUUACAAACAAAGAAAAUCUUGAUACAUAAAAUCGUCCAUUAAAAUUCAAUAACAAGUUCCAAUCAACAAACAUUAUCCUUUUGAUCUCGACAUCGCGUUACAUAUAUAAAGUAAAUAAACAGAGAUCGCCUUAUGAACUCUCCCUAUUAAACAUCUAAUAAUCAAGCAAUCGAAGCAGAAACACGCGAAAAUUAUAAAAACAAGAGAAUGAGUCUAUGCAGAGGGGAAACGGCUCACGCAACCCCGACAAAUAGAGGGAAUUAAAAGUAAUCACGCGCAUAUUUACGCGGCCGAUGAACAGAAUGGUUGCGUCAACCGCAAAAAUGUAACUGCACGCGAGCGCAGGUGUAUGCGUUCGAUUGUCGAGUGUGCAACGAGAGGGUGGUGUAGACCAGGAAGGGGAGAAAAGGGAUGGAACAACACACGCGGAUGAAAAUGGUCUCUCCACUGGUUCUGAUAUGGCUCGUACAUUGGAAUCGCUUGGAUAUGGGUGGAGUGAAACCGGAUGUGGGAGCGGGAAAUAGAAGGGAGGAGAGAAUACGAGGAUAAGUGGAAAUAAGGUUAUGUGAACGAAGGGAUAAAUUGUUGAUGAAAAUUGAUGGGUAAGUAAAAAGAAGGAGAAGGAGAAAAACAGAAAUAUAUAAUAUUUAUCCAUACAUAUAUAUAUAGGUUAUUUGAGAAUUGGAAAAAUGAAUGAAGAAACUUUUGACAUAAGAUAAUAUGAUCAUGAUAAUUUGAGUUUAAUUGAAAUGUAAAGAUUAAUUUUGUGUGUUUAAAUUUCCGUAAGAAUUUAUAGUUUAGAUAUAGUUUGUUAUUGAGAAUGCUUAAUUGAAAAAAAUAUAAUGAGAAUAUAACUCAACAUGUCACCUAGUAGCGCCUAUUUUAUCGUUAUCUUAUGUAAAAUGACAAAUGGCCUCUGAAAAAGCUAACCGUAAUAUCUUAAAAUAGAAUUCUUAAAAAAUUCACAGGAAGCUCUAAACAAUAACAAAUUUCAAAAUAAACUAGAUCGUAAAAAUCUAUCAAAUUUAUGAUACGAGGUUGUUGCCGAUGAAUUAAACGAAGGCUGUAUGGUUAAGAGUCAAACAAAAUCGUGGAUUUACGUGGAGAUGACGCCUAUCAUGAGAACGACAAUGAACCUUUGGAAGUUUUCACGAGCACAGGGGAUAAGCGAAACCUCGUAAAUUAGCCACGUCGCAUCAAGCCCGAUAAUUAAGGCGAAGCGCCGUUAAAGACGCCGGGGCCACGCUGUUUCAGAACUUGGCCAUCAUCCAACGAAAGAGAGACGUGUGUGCCAGGAACACGUGCGUGAAGUUGCCUCACCCGUGAAUCACGAGCUCGAAGCGGAUCCGCGCCGAUGAAUUUCUGGAGCGGGCCGCGUGUGUAUCCGAUGAAAUCGUACGUGGCAAGUGUUGUGUGCGUCUUGGAAACGCCAGAGCUCGAGAAUAAUUUCCUCUCGUUACCGAGAAAUCAUUAAGUUCUGUUCGUGAAACGCCGGUUUGAUGAUUUGAGGAUCCUUGCAAUUAGUUUGUUUGGAUAUUUAUGGUUCUACUCGUCAUGUUUCGUGAAGUUUUCCAUGAAAAAGGAGUUGGUGCCAUCUAUCGUGUGAAAUAAUAUAUACUUAUAAUAUGAUUCGUAUCAUAAUGUAAGGAAAGAAGAUGAAAAAACAUGCACUGUACAAUGAAACCUAAUCUCCAAAUUGAUUCAUGCCAUCUAUCAUAUCAAAUAGCAAUAUACUUAUAACUCAUAUCAUAAUGUAAGAAAAGAAGAUAAAGAAAUACAUACUGUACAGUGAAACUUUCAUAAAAUGAAACCUAACCUACAAAUUGAUUCAUGCUAUAUUAUCAAAUGGCAUUAUAUACUUGUAAUAUAACUUAUCAUUAUAAAAUAAAAAAAAAAGCACUAUCUAUUUAACCAAAUACCAAUUAUAUAUUCAUUAUCAUCAUAUUCCCGCAAAAUUUGCAAUAUACUCGUGAAAUUUAACAUGUAUCUCGAACUGUACCAGAUUUAAUACCCAAAAAAAAACCAACAAUCAGAUUGAAACACAAAAUCAGUUGAAUUAUUGUCAUUGAUAAAUACGUAUAGAAGCCUCUUUCGUAUCUCACGUAACGGUAUACAUCAUUGGAAUGGAAGUUGACCGAGAGAUUUUAUCUUCCACUUCAUAAAACGAGGCGGAUUUCGAUCUUCUUGUAAGCGCGCAUUUGUAUAGGCUGAUCCACCCAAUUGGAACCACUUGGCUGACGUUUGUAAAGUUGCCAAGAGGGAUUCUCUGGCAUUGGACGAGCGAGAAAAAGGAAAUAAAUGCCGGAAAAUAAAAUUAAAAAAACGUAUAUCAAGUGGAAAAUGCAUGUUUGAUAUAUCUUUGAAUUUAUAUAUUUUUUUUUAAGUUAUAUUAAUUGAAAAAUCUUAUGAAGAAGGAAGUAUUAUAUUCAUAAAGACUAUUAUUAUUUUUUUCAAAUAAUGUAAUUCUAAGUAGUUUAAUAAAAUAUAUAUUGUAUCUUCCUAAAGGUUUAUUUUUCAAAGGAUUUUCAUUAUAAAAAUUUAUUAUCAAAAUUAAUAACCAGAAGAUUAUAGGCUGGAUAAAUUGGCAGCUUCGUUCGUUUCGAUUUAAUAGCAGCAGAUUUUUUCUUUGAGGGAAGAAAAGCAAAAAUAGAACGGAUAUAUCCAUCUGGAAGAAAGCAAAAUAAAAUCGGCUUAAAGACCACUCUUAAUAAUUCAACGUAAAGGAAGAUUCUGCCAAGGUGUCUGACCAGACACGUCUUCCUCUACUUGAACAUCAGAAAAACUAUCUCUUAUUCAAAGAUUAACACUUUGUGUUCCAAUGGGAAAAAAGAUAAAUAGUCGGAAGAAGUUUGGAUAAGAGUUUUUCAAAUCAAAAGCUAGAAUUCUAAAUUAAAAUAAGACCAAGUAUAAUUGUUUGACUUAGUGGAUCUUGCAAAGUUUAAAUAUACAGUCAUUCAUAUUAUAUAAUACUUGAUGCACAUCAAUAUCAUUUUGAAUUUGUUGAAGAACUCCAGACAAGAAAAGUCAAGGAUGUAUCGCGGUUUAUCUCAUUCACGGUAAAAUUUAAAUCUAACCGAGGAGUCUGAGGAGUUUCAUCCUUCGUCGAGAGAGCUGUCCUCGCGUAGGAGGUCCGCAAGAUCUCAUCUGUCCACAUUGUCCAAUAAAUAAAUAAAAGAAUUAUUACUCGAUAGAAGCCGGCAUGAAAUCGGAUAAAAGUUGUAAACGUAGCUUUCGCGCGCGCGAGAAAUCCACGGAAGUUGUAAAUUAUGAAGAACAAUAGCCUUAAACAGUCAGUAGAUGCGAUAAGAGGACGUUUGAAUCACGUCUUCUUCUUUGGAGUCUGAAUAACCGCAUACUAUUCGAAGAUACGAGUACCGGAGAAGAAGAAUGCUGAUUCCGUUGGUGUCGACGAUUCCACAGAAAGCGUUGAGUUUCAUUUCUGUUCCUCGACCUCUUAUAGCUAGUUUAGAGCGUUGGGAAAGCAAAAGAUAAAACGUCUACAUGGAAUAUGAAGUUCAUCUUAUUUGUUAUCAGAAUAUUUAAACUAUUUUUGCAUAACAAUAUCACGAAUAAUAAAAAAAUAAAUAAAAAUUGCCAGAAAGAUUGAAAUUAUUAUCUGACAUAAGAUUUUUUAAAUUUCUUUAAUUCAAAUUAAUCUUAAGUUUUUGAAACAUUAUGAUGCUUUAAUUAUCGUACCUUGAAAUUAACAUCAAUUUUUUUUCCUAAUCUCAAAAAUAUGAAAUCAGAAAAUUUCUUGAACUUUACUAAAAAGAUAUAAUCAAUCACGUUUAUGAUUUUCAACCUAUUACAUUUUAUUAUUCACAAAUAGUAUUAAUUUUUCUCUAAAAACCCAAAUUACAAAAUAUCCCUAUACAUCACCCUAUACAUCACCCUAUACAUCAUAACCUCAAAGAUCAUUUAAAAAUUUCAACAAAUUAUUCAACGCUGUAACAACAACUAUUACCUACUAUAACCCAUUUUCAGCAUUUUAAAAAUAAAAUACGAGAUACAGAGAAAAAAAUGGAAAAAAAAAACAAAAAAAAAACAACUAGGAGAAAAAAAGCUAUGAUUGAUCAAACUAGUGACGUGAGUGAGAAUGAAGAGAAACGAGAGAGACUCGAUAGCCCUGAGAGGACAUACCACUCUCGGUAAUAUAAGGUGGCGGAAUAGAUUACGACCCUUCACCCUCGAUAGUACUUCUCUGCUCUGUUGGGGACGGUCGCCGCCCUUAUUGCGAAAGACCACGAGUUUAUUGCGAACGACUGUGCGCCUCGUUCACCACCUACCCGAUUUAUGGGGAUAUAUAAGCGCAUACCACCGACAAAUUUCCCCAUAAUAACGUGGACCCACUAUAAUGUCCUUUCAUCAACACUUUUCUCGAUUUUACUUCUGGACGUUCAGUUAUCCAAAAGUAGAACGUUUCCAUGUUCAUAAUUGCGUUUUCAGAAGAUUCCUCAUAAAUUGUAGGUCCAAGUUAAUCUACUGGUGGUGAUGAUUACUGUAACUGUAAACUGUUUUAUACCAUGGAUUAUGAAGUUGAAAGAUAUGUUUAGCUUUGCAGUUUAAUUUGUUUCAUGAGAAGAGUCUAUUUUAGAAUUAUUGAAUAACGUGAUAUUUGGUGAGAUUUUACUAAUGACAAGUUAAAAAGUAUAAUAAACUUUCAAAGACUUAAAUAGAGGUGCAAAUUAAGAUACGAGAAAAAGAAAAUAACUGUUUAAAAUUUUAUUUAAUUGCCGAAUAUUUUAUUUAACUUACUUUCAUUCGACCAUUUUCUACGCCGAAAAUGAAAAGUUAUUACCUGCUGUUUUAAUACGAACCAGUGCGUGCUUUCAAAUAUGUACACUCAGAAAUGUUGGAUGAAAAACUUGCAACCGUGUUCAUUUCAUCAGAACAGUAUGCCAAAAAGAAUGUUACACAACAUGAGAACGAACACAACCUGAAAGCAAGAUUACACGAAGCACGUGUUUAUUCGUAUUUUUUUCUCGUAUUCAUAUAUGUAUAUCAUGACUUUUAUAAAGGAAAACUAUUUACAAAUUUUUAUAAUAUAAUACUUAAGAAUUUUUAAUUUUUCAGAUAUAAUUAAAGUUUUUUAUCAUUAUUUUUUAAUUUCCAUCUAAGAAAUGUUAAUUUCGUUUUUUGAAAAUUUAAUAUUUAUUUUAUUAUUAUUAAUAAAUUACCCUAUAAAUUAUUAUUAAUUAUUAAUUUAACACGUAAAUUAGUUUUAUUUUUCUAUUUUUUUUUGAUAAAUUUUUUCAUUUUUAUUCUCAUUUUUCACAUUAUAAAUUUUUAUUUUCAGAUACAACAAUUGUUUGGAUAAAAUUUACAUUAUAAAGAGAUAAAGUCGACAAUUAACCGAUCCGAUUAAUUCGUAUUUGCAUUUUCCUUGGAACAAAGUUGAAUCGAUAAAAUGGCGACUGUUCGAUUCUUUUCGUAGUGAAAUCGUCAUUGAAAGUACACACGAACGAGGUCGGAGAUUGCUUCGUAAAUUCUUUUAAUACUCGACCUUCUGUUCAGUAAAAGGGCGGCCGAGAAGGGGUGACUUUACGGAUCAAGGGUGCCGAGCAACAAGUGUGAUUCUAAGGGGGUGCUUCAGGGUCGUCACACGGCGGUGCUCAUUGUGGAUUUAUCGAUUUACCGCGUUGAAACAACAUUCAUAUUUAAACAGAACCAAUUCUUCUCGUUCUACUCACAUGCACAUCGCGUUUUGUAUUCGGAAAGUUUCCAAAGCGAAGACAUUUAUUCGAAUGAUAUACAAAAUUCCUUUUAGAAAUAGAAAAAAUAUUAGAUCAUUUAAAAAAAAAUUUAUACUAAUUAGCAAUUAGAUAUAAUUAAAUAUCUUCUAAAUAGUUUAGUAAUUUUUAUAAAUGAUGCAUUAUAUAUUAAAAAAUAUACGGUUAUAUUUUUAAAAAAAUACAAGUUGACUUUCAAGAUAUAUUAAAAAAAAAUUACACUAUUUUAUGUCUUUACGUCGAAUCCAUUUAAUUAUUAUUAUAUAAAUAUUUUUUAAUAUUUCUAAAAAUAAGUAAGAUAUUACUAUCGAUAAAAUUGUUGAGACAGAAUAUAUAUUUAUUGUAUAUAUUAUCAAGUUUAUUAUAUUUGUCAUAUCAUUUACAAAAAAAAUGUCUCAAAUUUUGAAACAAUUUCACCUCGAAAGCCAAGAUGCAUUGUUUUGUCGAGAGACGAAUUUCAAACAUAAGGAUGGUUUUGCCCCAUCGAAGACCGAAUUCUAUUAAGCAAAACACGAUUCGCUCGUUGUCAUCGUAUUUCAUUCUAAUUCGAAUCUUACGGGGGGUUACAGAACGUACGUGCUCCCCCAUGCAAUGGUCGAAGACAGAUGCGUAGGGUGGUUUCUGGAAUGGUAAAUACGCUUCACUCCCCUCGGUACUAUUGGCUCUUAUCGCGUUUCUGAAUUGUUUUUCGAAAGAGAAAUGUGAGCAUAAAACGACCCAUGAUUGCUACCGAUCCUAUCUUCCUGACUUUAUUGAAAUAAUCUCGAUGUCGUUUUAAUUUUAUAUGUUUGUAAAAUGCUUUUUCUUUUUUUUUAAUAUUGAGAUACAUAGUUAAUCAAAAGUUGACUGGUUUUUGUUCAAAACAUUCUUUUGUCCGAUUAUUGAAAACGCCUGAAAAAUUAUAUAAAUUAUAUAAUAUUACUACAUAUAUCUUUUGAUUCCAUAGGUUGAAAUAAAAUAAAAUUAUAUUAAAAACAUCAUUUUCCAAAGAAUUAAAUUUGAAAAACUUGAGAUUUUUAGAAUUAUUUAUCUUACUAAAUCUUUCAUCAAAUUAUUUGUACCAUAAAUUAUGAUAUACAUUAUAUAUUAAAUCAUAAUCAUAUCUUUAUCCAUUAAGUUAUUAAGUAUAUUUAUUGAAUAUUCCUAAAAAAAAUUCCCUAAACAUAACACUUCUCACGUAACCAAUUUCCUUUUCAAAAGAGAAACGAUCAGUUCAAUCUACAAUGUUUACGUGUAUCGAGGAAAUAAGAAGAAGGCAUUGAUUAAGAACAAGGCGGGAAAACGUUCAUCGAUUCAUCACUGAAACCCUUUUUCUUUUAUCCUCGGUUUCACGGCGUUCUUCUCCUCGAUUUCCACUAUUGGCAAAGCGAUAACUCGGUACGUUGGUCAUAAAUCAAACUGCCAGAGUGUUUCACCUAACCUCUCCAACAGGAAGCUUCCUCCACCAUACCAUCUCCUUCAUCCCGUGGCAAAUGAUCCGCGACCUUUCACUGUUCUUUUUAUUCACUUUUCUUCCUUUUCUUCCCUUCUCCCUUUUUUUAUAUUCUUCUUUUUUUCUCUCUUUUAUUCGCGGCCUUACCGCGUCAUGAAAAAUAAAUCCUGGAUUCAGGUUCAGGCCUUUGACAUUUUGGUAAAUUACUCAAGCCUCUUUUGUAUUGUUGUACAGAGUGUUUCCGGAUAUGCAUGAAAUAUCGACAGAUUGGGAAAAUGUCAGAGGUAUAUAAGCUCUGUUUUUCAAUAUUUUUUGGUUGGCAAGAUUUAUUCGAUUGUACGAGAUUCGUUGGUUUUGAUUUGAUGUCAUUCUAUGCUAUUUUCAGUAUUUAAACUUAUGAAAAGUCUAUAAUUUUAUCAUAUUAGAUUUGGUAACUAAUAAAAAAAGUGUAAUAUUUUUUAAAAUUUAUAUCGAAGAAAUUACAUUUUAACAAUUAAUCGAAAAAGAAAUUCAAUUCAACAUUUUCAAUUUUCACAAUUCAUACAUACAAUAAUAUCAGACGUAUCUAUCAAUUUUAAAUUCAGGAAAAUUUAAAAAUUUUCUCUAUAUACACAAUACAAUUCAAUCUUCAUACAUUAAAGUUAUCUAAAUCUAGUCCAAUUGUAAUUACAAAUCACAAGGCCUCCAUUCAGGUGACACUCUUUACUACCAAACAAUCCAUCAACUUUUCACGCAGUUCCCGCAACUGUACUCCGCUAUAAUAUUUACGACCGGUAAUUUCCUAGCAAUUAUCACCACUGUCACACAACAAGACUUAUUUAAACCGUUUUCAUUUGUCGCCCAUCCUUCUUCGCGCUAUAAAAAUUGCUAUCAUCACGAAAGAGAAGAAAAGAAAAAAAAAGAGAAUGAGCGUGACAAUUAAAUUAGACUUCGAACAAGCGCGACCAAGCUUGUUUAGGUUAGGUCUGUUUUAAUGUUCGUGAUUUGCCGGCGAAUUUUAAUUGCACUGUUGUCAAGUGAACGAGGGCCAAUUUUCAUUGGAUGAGGACUCGUUUAAACUCUGGGUGGAAACUGGUCCAAUAGGAAACAGGAUAUUGUCGGUGAGACAAAUAAAGCAUGGUAAUCGUAAAAUAUGGCAUUGGAAUUGAUUUUCGAAUUAAUUAAAUUUUAAAAAAAUAACAAAUUGAAAUUAUAAUGUAGUUAAUAAAUAAUGCAGUUCGAAUAAAAUGUUACAAACUAUUUUUUUUUUUAGAAAGUAUGAAGAAAUAGACUUUGAUUUUUAGUCGUUUAUUUUGAUAUACGUAGUGUUUUUAGAAGAUAUAAUAGAGGAUUUUUGUGAAAGUUUGGUAUAUAAAAAUUUUUUAAUCGGAAUAUACUAAAUUGUAAUCAAUUUAAAUUUAUAUUAGAUAAAAGAAGAUGAGAUAGAUUAGGAUAGAAUCAUCUUAUAAAUUUAAUUAAGAAAAAAUGAAAUGAUAUAUUUAUUUGUUUCUUAAAAAAUAAAUUAUAAAAUUUUAUUUGUAUUUUAUAAUUUUGAAGAAUUAUAUUUUUGAAUAAAAUUAUAAUAUAAAGAAUUGCUUAUAAAAAUUAUAUCUAAUGCUAUUAUAUUAUUUUAAAAUUAUUGGAAAAACAUGAAAGUCAGAAAAAUUUUGACAUCAUUAAUUCAUUUUGACAUCAUUUAUUACUGUAUUGAAAAUUUUUUUUUCAAUUAAUUCAAAUCUACAAUUAUGUCCAAAAUAUUUUUCUAUCAGAUUAUUUCACUUUCUCAAAGCUAAUAAUUAUCUUUUAAUUAAUUGUCUAAUAAUAAUCUAUGUAAUAAAUAUUGUCAUAAUAUAAUACUUACAUAAUACUUACAAAUACUUACAUAAUAAUUACAAAUUAUGCUAUAUUAUCCAUCAAAAAAUUUAAAGUUCAAUAUACAAUUCAGAUUUUUAAAUCAAUCGAUUUGAUAUUUUAAUCUGGAAUUUCAUUACAUUUACUAAAUUAUACCAUUUUUCAUAUAGCUAAUAAUCAUGCAUGCUACACUUGAACUUUGUACUUUUGUAUCCGAACGAAUGAAUUAUCUUUUCCGCGUAUAAUUUCACGCAGGUGCACAAUUCUAAACAGUGAAACGAAGAAAUAGAAGUGCAAAGAUGAUCGUGUCCCGUAAUCCACGAUGGGAAAUCUUAUAUUCUCUUCCACUUACAUCGCUACGUGACCGAGGGCUUCGAUGUCAAUGAGAUAAAUGGAAUUUGUUUUUUAAUGACGGAGGUCGAGAAUUAGAAAUCAAGGAUUUUAAUAAAGUGGUCGGAAAAGAUUUAAGUUUUGUAGUUAAAUAUUAUUAGAUGGAAUCAUGUAUCAAUUUGUUCUAAUAGUAAAGUUAUCGAGAAGUGAUUAUAAUAUGGAUUAGUAUAUAAUAUUCAGCCAUAUUGGAUAUUGGAUGAAAAAUUAUAAAUCAAUAAAAAAAAAUAACUUGAUAUUAAUUUUUUUUAAUCUAAAAUAAGAAUAAAAUAUAAUAAAAAUAUAUAUACACUUAUAUAGAGAUACAUAUAUAGAGAGUAUAUACACUUAUAUACUCUCGUCAAAAUUUACUCAAAACAUUUAUUAUACAACACUAACAUGAUAUAACCUAUAAUAUAUAUGGAUCAAAAAUAACUACUAUAUUAUUACUUAAAUUACACUAUUCAACUAUCACAUUCAUAAGAUAUCUCAAUGGUCUCCAAAUCCAUAAAAUGUUUUAUUCAAUCGUGAUUAUGCUGCAUUCUGCACAAACGAAUUCCAAAACUGUCUGAGCACCACUGUAAGACCACCUUGUAAAGUUAAAGAAAGACAGCACAAGCCGGAUGCACGAGUAGAAGCGAGAAGAAACGAACGACAGAAAAGUGAAGUGGAGGGAAGGGGAGAGUUUAGGUUAGGAUGCGCCAGGCCAGGAAAUGCACUUGACGCAGCGUCGCCGCGGAGGAUGAGUCAUCGGAGAUACGGAAAACCGGUUCGCCACGACUAUAAGCCUUUUCCCUUGGCAGCACAUCUCGAGCCGAUUCGUACCAUGGCGAGUUCUUUCCGCCACUCUUUCUUUUCCUCGCCUUCUUUUCUUCCGAGAGCAGUCGCCACUUCCAUGAGUUUGUCUCGUUUGGCUACUAUGCCAUCUCUUCUGCUGUCUUGUUGCGCCAAUGCUUCGACAGAGGGACUAAAGGUGGAUCUCAAUUGCAUCGUCAGUCCUUACUUUGUUACAUCAUAUAUUGUGCUUCGUAUCAUAUACAACGUAAGGAAAAACGAAGAUUGACUAGAAAUUUUAUAUCUAUUAUGUCUAUUAUGUCUACUUUUUUGAUUUUUGUUUUUUUAUUUAAAAUUGUUGUUAAAUAAUUACGGUUAUAAUCUACCCAACAUAACCUAUAAGAUAAUAGUUGUUAUUAUCCAUUGAAAAAAAAAAUAAAGAUUUAAUUUAGACAUAUAAUAAAUAAUAAGUUUAUAUACUAAAUAGUAGUUUUAAUUAAAUUUAUUUUUUCUAUAAAUAGAUAAUACAAAAUUAUUGGAUAUCAAAUUUUUAUUUUUUUUCUUAUAAACAAUAGUAGAAUUAAUUUAAAUAUUAAUUAAUGCUAACUAAUAAAUUAUAUAUUUAUAUUAAUAUAAUAUAAUAUUAUAAUAAUUUUGGUUAGACUAAAUUUUUAAUUUUAUAGUUAUAGUUUAUCAUUCAUCAAUUAGAAUAAUGGACUGAACCAAAAUUAUACGUUAGAUUAUUAUUACAUCCAAUGAUCAAUAAUAAAAUUUCCAAAAUAUAACAAAUUGAUUAAAAUAGAAGACUUAAAUAACUAUGUAGUAUAUGUUUAUUUUUUAUUGAAAAUUGAUAUUUUCACAAAAUAUUUUUAAAUAUAUAAAUUAUCAUAAGGAUUCUAUAUUAGAAGUGACUUUUUACAUAUUAGAAACUCAUUGAUAAUAAAUACUAAUGUAAUAGAUAAUAUCAUCAUAAAACAAACAUGGAAAACUGAUUAGUUAGUCAUGAAUUUUGCAAAAAUUUAAAAUUUUAAUGCAAAAUAUUAGAUAUUCAUGUUUAACUGAAAAUUUAUACAUAUAUUUUUCAAAUAAUCAUUUUAAAAUUGUUUCCAGUUUUUAUUGAAUAUUGGAUAUUUUUAUUGGAUAUUUAUCUAUUAUAAAACUUAACCUAAUUUUUUUUCAAUUUUCUAUAUAUAUGUAACAUAAAUUUGCAUAAAGAAAAAUUUAUUUCAGAAAUUUUUAUCUUUUUUUUCUAAUUUUAAUAGGGAAAUGAUUUUUCAUUAAAAAUUUAAAUAACUUUACAUUAAUUUCGAAUAUCAGUGAAGUAAUUUUCACUGAAGAAUCAUGCUUUUUGCAUAAGAACAGAUACAUUUAUGAUACAAACAAACUAUAUCUUUAUGUUAAUUCUUUGUUUUAUCGCCUUUUUUUUUAAUGCGCGUGACGUAACACAAAUAUACACAUGUACUUACGUCAACUAAAAAGACGCAUAAAAUCGAAUUUAAUUAUCAUCAUUACUUACUGUGCUAUCUUUAUGCUAAUCGAGAAUUUUUUUCUUAAUUGUGAAAUAUAAAACUAUGAUACAUUAUUUAUAUCAGGAUGAUUUUGCACAUGAUUUUUCUCCAAUUUUUUUAUUUUAAUAUUAUUUUUAGAUAUUUGAUUUAAUAAUUUUUAUCUAUUUCAUAACUUUGCAUAAUCAUUUUGAAAUUUGAAUAAGAAUAAUAGUACAUUUUAAUUUUUACAGAAAAAAGUAUUUUCAUUUUUUUUUCUUCCAAUGCAUAACUAUAAUUUCUACCUUUAUCUCUUAAUUGAAUCUCUAUUGAACGCAAUACAUAUUCUCUGAAAUUGAUAUUGUCUAUUGCCUAUAAGAUCAUAUCAAUCCGAUUACUAUAUUAUUUUCAUUAUAUUAAUUUUCGAUCAUAAUUUUCUUAUUGAAUAAUUUUUAUACUCUUCGAUUAAAAAUUUUUAUUAUAAUUUCAAUCAUUGAUAAUUUAUGAUAUUACAUUACAAUACAAUUUUCGUUUGAUAAUUGUUCGUUUUAUUUUUUUUUUAUCAUUUUUUUAUCGUGUAUUCUUUAAUUAAAAUGAUUAUAAUUAUUAUACUUCGUUGUUUACAAACGAACGCGUAUAUCUAAAUAUGCAAACUCGGCGAAAUUACAUUAUUUGCAGAACAUUGAAUUUCACUCUUGAGAUUAAAAUUAUCAACUCUUGCGAGAUAAUAAAGGCAAUGUCACGAAUGCGUGAUGACUAAUUGACUAAAUUAUUCGUUUCUAAUUUUAUAAAAUCAAGCUAAUUUACAAAAUUUUAAUCAUAUCAUUGUUUUAUUUCAAUUAUAUAAAAAUACCAAAUUAUAACUAAAUUAUAACUUUUAAAAUAAUAUAUCUUAUAAAAAAGAUAAAAUAUAGAAAUUUUUUCAUUUAAUAAAUGAUUAUUUAUCUUGACUAUUAUUAUAUAUAUUAUAUUAAUACUAUUCUUAGUUUUUCCUUUCAAUUUUUUUAAGAAAUGUUACAAAAUGGCGGAAUUUUCAAAUAAAAUUUGUUACAUAUUUCAACAGGAUAAUUUAAUAUAAUAGUAAUAUUUAUAAAUGUUAUUUUAAUUUUGUAUUCAUGAUGUCAUUCAUGUACAAGAUGAACGAUAUCGUUCAUGAUAUAUCAUACGAUGUUUUUCACUUAUUUUAAUAUAUAGACUCAUCUCUUCAGGUAUGAAUAUAAAUUCAUGAAUCAUCUUGUAUAAUAAAAUAGUAUAAUAAUCACAAUAUAAUAGUCAAGAUUAAUAUAAUAGUAUAAUUUGAUAUUAUUAUUUAAUUAAUAUUAUUAUAUUGUAGAAUAUUCGUAUUAUUAUGAACAUUUUCAAUGAUAAAUUGUAACUAUUUAAAUUAAUAAUUGUUCCAGCAAUAAUAUAGUUAUAAUACUUAAAUAUGUAGAUAUGUUAAAACGUCUGGGAAAUAUUCGUAACAGGUAAUCUUAACGCUAAUAAUAAAUUUAUCUUGUUUGAGCAACACUCGAGACUUCAGACAGAUAUAAGGAUAAAAAUUGUUUUCUAUCUCGUAAUAAUGAGUCAUAUUUAAUUUGUGUUAAUGGAAUUGCAAUAUUUGCUUAUUUAUUUCAAUUAUUUUUCUACAUGUUAUUAUUCGAUAGCAAAGAUAAAAAUAAGAUAUGACAAUUUAAAUUUCUAACAUGAGAUCAAUUUUAACAUUAAAAACAUAUUAAUUAUUAAUGAUAUAUGAUAAAAAAAAGAUCAAAAAUUAAAUUUUGCAUAUAUGAAAAACUUCAAGUAAACUUUUUUAAACUAAUAAUCAAAGUAAAAAUAAUUGUACAAUUUCUAUUCUAUUCUCUCAUUCUAAUAUCUUGAAAAUUUCAUACAUACUUCAACAAACUCGGUUUUUCCCUAAAAUUCUCCACAGAACAAUAACAUAAAUUAAAAUUUUAAUCCUUGCAACACUUCAAAAAUUAAAUUUCAAAGAUUUUAAAUAAAUUUUUUUUCAUUAAUAUUCACAAAUUAUAAAAGUAAAAUUACACAAUUUCUAAUUCCAAUAUUCUGGACACCCUAUAUAUGUAUGCUUCAACAAAAUCUGCUCAGGUAUUCCCAAAACGUUCCGAACAAACGGUUCCGUGGCCACUAACGUUAAUUUAUUCUCGUUUUUAAUCUCCUUCCCAUCCAAGUAGUCCGAUGGAGCAAUGUUCAGAAUUUCCACUCAAGGCCUUCUCCAACGAGAUCGUGCCAGCCUCUGGUUUAAUGACAUUUGAAAGGAUCCAGGAAAAAGGUCAAGAUGCAUCGAUGCGGCCACAUUGUGGAGGAUUCGUGUCGACUUCGCAAGAUGAGCACGAAAUCUCUCUGUCCUGUCUCUCUCUUUCUCCCUCUCUUCCUCCUUGUACCCUUUGGACAAACCAACUCUCCCUCUCUGUCUUUGUCCAUCUCUAACCAACGUUAAAGGCCGUUCUUCCAUCUCUGUCUUCGAGUCGGUAAAACCGGUGCAAAAGGUAGCCACGAAGCGAGAGAGCAAGAAGUGAAACUUCUCGCGGGGAAUGGCGAUUUGU